Molecule: non-coding RNA, 179 nt
Organism: Penaeus vannamei (Pacific white shrimp)
Lineage: Eukaryota; Metazoa; Arthropoda; Malacostraca; Decapoda; Penaeidae
Source: RefSeq, a predicted model, not a curated record
UGUGUUGUGUGUGUGUUGUGUGUGUGUGUGUGUGUGUGUGUGUGUGUGUGUGUGUGUGCGCACACACACACACACACACACACACACACACACACACAUAUAUGAUAUACAUAUAUAUAAAUAUACUAUAUAUAUAUAUAUAUAAAUAUAUAUAUAUAUAUAUAUACAAACACACACAC